Molecule: ribosomal RNA, 480 nt
Filed under: Vibrio parahaemolyticus
Lineage: Bacteria; Pseudomonadati; Pseudomonadota; Gammaproteobacteria; Vibrionales; Vibrionaceae
Description: bacterial SSU rRNA
Rfam family: Bacterial small subunit ribosomal RNA
Source: RNAcentral
GCAAACAGGAUUAGAUACCCUGGUAGUCCACGCCGUAAACGAUGUCUACUUGGAGGUUGUGGCCUUGAGCCGUGGCUUUCGGAGCUAACGCGUUAAGUAGACCGCCUGGGGAGUACGGUCGCAAGAUUAAAACUCAAAUGAAUUGACGGGGGCCCGCACAAGCGGUGGAGCAUGUGGUUUAAUUCGAUGCAACGCGAAGAACCUUACCUACUCUUGACAUCCAGAGAACUUUCCAGAGAUGGAUUGGUGCCUUCGGGAACUCUGAGACAGGUGCUGCAUGGCUGUCAAGUCAUCAUGGCCCUUACGAGUAGGGCUACACACGUGCUACAAUGGCGCAUACAGAGGGCGGCCAACUUGCGAAAGUGAGCGAAUCCCAAAAAGUGCGUCGUAGUCCGGAUUGGAGUCUGCAACUCGACUCCAUGAAGUCGGAAUCGCUAGUAAUCGUGGAUCAGAAUGCCACGGUGAAUACGUUCCCGGGCC